RNAcentral lists this transfer RNA (100 nucleotides) under Fusarium chlamydosporum. RNAcentral describes it as "tRNA-Met". It matches the Rfam family "tRNA". Rfam says of the family: Transfer RNA (tRNA) molecules are approximately 80 nucleotides in length. Their secondary structure includes four short double-helical elements and three loops (D, anti-codon, and T loops). Further hydrogen bonds mediate the characteristic L-shaped molecular structure. tRNAs have two regions of fundamental functional importance: the anti-codon, which is responsible for specific mRNA codon recognition, and the 3' end, to which the tRNAs corresponding amino acid is attached (by aminoacyl-tRNA synthetases). tRNAs cope with the degeneracy of the genetic code in two manners: having more than one tRNA (with a specific anti-codon) for a particular amino acid; and 'wobble' base-pairing, i.e. permitting non-standard base-pairing at the 3rd anti-codon position. Lineage: Eukaryota; Fungi; Ascomycota; Sordariomycetes; Hypocreales; Nectriaceae. RNAcentral also lists the same sequence under 5 other names. The record is from RNAcentral.
GUCGGUGUGGCUCAGUUGGUUAGAGCGUUGGUCUCAUAGUAUGAUUUGACCCCAGGUCAGAGUAAUCCAAAGGUCGAGAGUUCGAGCCUCUCCACCGACA